This 84-nucleotide small RNA is filed under the name Flavobacterium aquatile LMG 4008 = ATCC 11947. RNAcentral's name for it is "Flavobacterium aquatile LMG 4008 Flavo-1 RNA". It matches the Rfam family "Flavo-1 RNA". Lineage: Bacteria; Pseudomonadati; Bacteroidota; Flavobacteriia; Flavobacteriales; Flavobacteriaceae. The record is from Rfam by way of RNAcentral.
ACUUAACCCUGAUAGGAAUGAAAAUAAAAAACCUUUCUGGUGUUCAGAAAGGUUUUUUUAUUGUAAUGGAUAGCAGGAAUACGG